CUACGGACGUUGCCGCUAGGUUUCGACCUUCUUUCUCUCAAUGAAUUGAUUGAAGUUUAAAGUCGGCCUCUAGUGUACGCGCGUACGUGUGCCUGGGCGUUUCGCGUGACUGUGCGCGGUUGCGAAAGCACCGCGCUAAAGCGCGUCGCCUCAAGUCUUGAAAGAGAUUCGGUUAGCUCUGAGUUUCUCUCGAAACGCCGAUCGAUUCCCGGUGUCUCUUGGCUCGGUAACUGUGGUGCAGCGAGUCAGCAAACGGAGUUUUGGACACUCUUGCCUUUUUUUAAAGAAAAGGUUUCGAGUCUUUUCAAAAUCACCUCCUCCUGCGAUUGACGCGCGGACCGGCCGAGCGUGAGCGCUUGAUUCGGACGUUGUGUCGCACAUCGUUUUUUUUUGAACGUGACUUUGUGCGGCGACGUUUCCGGAGAUGCUCGCGGCUCGUGUGCUGUUUGUUCCGUUAUGCGCGGUCGAUCGUGGUUUUGUUACGGGGGUAACCUUUGAACGCGAAAAGACGAGAAUUGCUGAAGUAGCAUAAGAAGCACGUAUUAUUUUGAAAACCCGAGUUAAAACACGCAAGAGACCGAGUUAUUGGAAGAUUGGCAAACCGUAGAGAAGCGUAGAACGCUGCGGGCUUUCCGAAC
Molecule: unclassified non-coding RNA, 638 nt
Filed under: Isonychia shima
Lineage: Eukaryota; Metazoa; Arthropoda; Insecta; Ephemeroptera; Isonychiidae
Description: partial contains ITS2
Source: RNAcentral